GAUGAACGCUGGCGGCGUGCCUAAUACAUGCAAGUCGAGCGAACAGACGAGGAGCUUGCUCCUCUGACGUUAGCGGCGGACGGGUGAGUAACACGUGGAUAACCUACCUAUAAGACUGGGAUAAUUUCGGGAAACCGGAGCUAAUACCGGAUAAUAUAUUGAACCGCAUGGUUCAAUAGUGAAAGACGGUUUUGCUGUCACUUAUAGAUGGUUCCGGGCGGCAUUGGUUAGUUGGUAAGGUACCGGCUUACUAAGGCAACGAUGCGUUGCCGACGGGUGAGCGGGGUCGGCGACAUGGGAACGGAGACACGGUCCAUGCUCCUACGGGAGGCAGCAGAAGGGAAUCUGCCGCAGUGGGCGGAAGCCUUGCACAGCAACGCCGCGUGAGAGGUAAAGGUCUUCGGAUCGUAAAACUCUGUUAUUAGGGAAGAACAAAUGUGGAAGUAACUAUGCACGUAGUGACGGUACCUAAUCAGAAAGCCACGGCUAACUACGUG
RNAcentral lists this ribosomal RNA (497 nucleotides) under uncultured bacterium. RNAcentral describes it as "partial 16S ribosomal RNA". It matches the Rfam family "Bacterial small subunit ribosomal RNA", at positions 28 to 507 of the family's 1533-position model. The record is from RNAcentral.